RNAcentral lists this ribosomal RNA (85 nucleotides) under Besnoitia besnoiti. RNAcentral describes it as "partial 5.8S ribosomal RNA". It matches the Rfam family "5.8S ribosomal RNA", at positions 60 to 143 of the family's 154-position model. Rfam says of the family: 5.8S ribosomal RNA (5.8S rRNA) is a component of the large subunit of the eukaryotic ribosome. It is transcribed by RNA polymerase I as part of the 45S precursor that also contains 18S and 28S rRNA. The record is from RNAcentral. Lineage: Eukaryota; Apicomplexa; Conoidasida; Eucoccidiorida; Sarcocystidae.
ACGCAAUGUGAAUUGCAGAAUUCAGUGAAUCAUCAGAUUUCUGAACGCAAAUGGCACCAUGGGGAUACUCUCCUUGGUACGUCUG